UACGGAGGGUGCGAGCGUUGUCCGGAAUCAUUGGGCGUAAAGGGCGCGUAGGUGGCCCAGUAAGCGUGCGGUGAAAGCUCGGGGCUCAACCCCGAGUCGGCCGUGCGAACUACUGGGCUGGAGCACUGUAGAGGCAGGCGGAAUUCCGGGGUGUAGUGGUGGAAUGCGUAGAGAUCCGGAGGAACACCAGCGGCGAAGGCGGCAUCCUGGACUGGUCCUGACACUCAUGAGCGAAAGCGUGGGGAGCGAGUCCGG
Molecule: ribosomal RNA, 255 nt
Filed under: uncultured bacterium
Lineage: Bacteria
Description: partial 16S ribosomal RNA
Rfam family: Bacterial small subunit ribosomal RNA
Source: RNAcentral